RNAcentral lists this ribosomal RNA (165 nucleotides) under Galactia aff. muelleri McDonald 10479. RNAcentral's name for it is "5.8S ribosomal RNA". The stretch from base 44 to 165 matches the Rfam family "5.8S ribosomal RNA", at positions 1 to 122 of the family's 154-position model. From Rfam's summary of the family: 5.8S ribosomal RNA (5.8S rRNA) is a component of the large subunit of the eukaryotic ribosome. It is transcribed by RNA polymerase I as part of the 45S precursor that also contains 18S and 28S rRNA. Functionally, it is thought that 5.8S rRNA may be involved in ribosome translocation. Lineage: Eukaryota; Viridiplantae; Streptophyta; Magnoliopsida; Fabales; Fabaceae. The record is from RNAcentral.
GACGGUGUUUCUGCAGGUGAUGUCGUUCAACAUGUAUCAAAAUGACUCUCGGCAACGGAUAUCUCGGCUCUUGCAUCGAUGAAGAACGUAGCAAAAUGCGAUACUUGGUGUGAAUUGCAGAAUCCCGUGAACCAUCGAGUCUUUGAACGCAAGUUGCGCCUGAAA